UACGUAGGGUGCAAGCGUUGUCCGGAAUUAUUGGGCGUAAAGAGCUCGUAGGCGGUUUGUUGCGUCGGCUGUGAAAACCCGCGGCUCAACUGCGGGCCUGCAGCCGAUACGGGCAGGCUAGAGUUCGGUAGGGGAGACUGGAAUUCCUGGUGUAGCGGUGAAAUGCGCAGAUAUCAGGAGGAACACCGGUGGCGAAGGCAGCUCGCUGGGACGUGACUGACGCUGAGACGCGAAAGCGUGGGGAGCAAACAGG
Molecule: ribosomal RNA, 253 nt
Filed under: uncultured bacterium
Lineage: Bacteria
Description: partial 16S ribosomal RNA
Rfam family: Bacterial small subunit ribosomal RNA
Source: RNAcentral